UGGGGAAUUUUGCACAAUGGGCGCAAGCCUGAUGCAGCGACGCCGCGUGAGGGAUGAAGGCCUUCGGGUUGUAAACCUUUUUCGCUCAUGGUCAAGCCGCAGCUUUGGGUUGUGGUGAGGGUAGUGGGUAAAGAAGCGCCGGCUAACUACGUGCCAGCAGCCGCGGUAAUACGUAGGGCGCGAGCGUUGUCCGGAAUUAUUGGGCGUAAAGGGCUUGUAGGCGGUUGGCCGCGUCUGCCGUGAAAUCCUCUGGCUUAACUGGGGGCGUGAGGUGGGUACGGGUUGACUUGAGUGCGGUAGGGGAGACUGGAAUUCCUGGUGUAGCGGUGGAAUGCGCAGAUAUCAGGAGGAACACCGGUGGCGAAGGCGGGUCUCUGGGCCGUUACUGACGCUGAGGAGCGAAAGCGUGGGGAGCGAACAGG
RNAcentral lists this ribosomal RNA (422 nucleotides) under bacterium. Its description in RNAcentral is "partial 16S ribosomal RNA". It matches the Rfam family "Bacterial small subunit ribosomal RNA", at positions 355 to 776 of the family's 1533-position model. The record is from RNAcentral.